Molecule: ribosomal RNA, 826 nt
Filed under: uncultured Thermoplasmatales archaeon
Lineage: Archaea; Methanobacteriati; Thermoplasmatota; Thermoplasmata; Thermoplasmatales
Description: bacterial SSU rRNA
Rfam family: Archaeal small subunit ribosomal RNA
Source: RNAcentral
AGACUUCGGGUCUCGGCGCACUGCUCAGCAACACGUGGAUAACCUAACCUCAGGAGGGGAAUAACCUCGGGAAACUGAGACUAAUACCCCAUAAGCUCAGCAGGCUGGAAUGCAGCUGAACUGAAAGCUCUGGCGCCUGAGGAUGGGUCUGCGGCCUAUCAGGUAGUAGUGAGGGUAAUGUCCUCACUAGCCAGCUACGGGUACGGGCCGUGGGAGUGGUUGCCCGGAGAUGGACUCUGAGACACGAGUCCAGGCCCUACGGGGCGCAGCAGGCGCGAAAACUUCACAAUGCGGGAAACCGCGAUGAGGGUAUUCCAAGUGCCAAUACUUUGUAUUGGCUUUUCAUCUGUCUAACAAACUGGUGGAAUAAGGGCUGGGUAAGUCUGGUGCCAGCCGCCGCGGUAAUACCAGCAGCUCAAGUGGUGGCCGUUAUUAUUGAGCCUAAAGCGUCCGUAGCCGGGCUAGUAAAUCUUUGGGUAAAUCGGACAGCUUAACUGUCCGAAUUCCGGAGAGACUGCUAGUCUUGGGACUGGGAGAGGUCGGAGGAACUUCGAGGGUAGGGGUGAAAUCCUGUAAUCCUCGGGGGACCACCAGUGGCGAAGGCGUCUGACUAGAACGGAUCCGACGGUAAGGGACGAAGCUCUGGGGCGCAAACGGGAUUAGAUACCCCGGUAGUCCAGGGUGUAAACGCUGCAGGCUUGGUGUCGGGGGUCCUACGUGGGCACUCGGUGCCGGAGAGAAGUUGUUAAGCCUGCCGCUUGGGGGAGUACGCUCCGCAAGAGUGAAACUUAAAAGGAAUUGGGCGGGGGGAGCACCCGCAACGGGG